RNAcentral lists this ribosomal RNA (460 nucleotides) under uncultured bacterium. RNAcentral's name for it is "SSU rRNA". It matches the Rfam family "Bacterial small subunit ribosomal RNA", at positions 26 to 518 of the family's 1533-position model. The record is from RNAcentral.
AGAGCGAACGCUGGCGGCAUGCUUAACACAUGCAAGUCUCACGGGCAGCAAUGUCAGUGGCGGACGGGUGAGUAACGCGUAGGUAUCUAUCCUUGGGUGGGGGACAACAGUGGGAAACUACUGCUAAUACCGCAUGAUAACCGAGGUUCAAAGGCGCCCGGGGCAACUUGGGCAUCGCCUGGGGAGGAGCCUGCGUACGAUUAGCUAGUUGGUGGGGUAAAGGCCUACCAAGGCUACGAUCGUUAGCUGGUCUGAGAGGAUGAUCAGCCACAUUGGGACUGAGACACGGCCCAAACUCCUACGGGAGGCAGCAGUGGGGAAUAUUGGACAAUGGGCGAAAGCCUGAUCCAGCAAUGCCGCGUGUGUGAAGAAGGUCUUCGGAUUGUAAAGCACUUUCGACGGGGACGAUGAUGACGGUACCCGUAGAAGAAGCCCCGGCUAACUUCGUGCCAGCAGCCGC